RNAcentral lists this ribosomal RNA (253 nucleotides) under uncultured bacterium. RNAcentral describes it as "partial 16S ribosomal RNA". It matches the Rfam family "Bacterial small subunit ribosomal RNA", at positions 524 to 776 of the family's 1533-position model. The record is from RNAcentral.
UACGGGGGGGGUAAGCGUUGUUCGGAAUUACUGGGCGUAAAGCGUGCGCAGGCGGUUUUGUAAGUCUGUCGUGAAAGCCCCGGGCUUAACCUGGGAAUUGCGAUGGAGACUGCAAGGCUUGAAUCUGGCAGAGGGGGGUAGAAUUCCACGUGUAGCAGUGAAAUGCGUAGAGAUGUGGAGGAACACCGAUGGCGAAGGCAGCCCCCUGGGUCAAGAUUGACGCUCAUGCACGAAAGCGUGGGGAGCAAACAGG